AUUGAACGCUAGCGGGAUGCUUUACACAUGCAAGUCGAACGGCAGCGCGGACUUCGGUCUGGCGGCGAGUGGCGAACGGGUGAGUAAUGUAUCGGAACGUGCCCAGUAGCGGGGGAUAACUACGCGAAAGCGUAGCUAAUACCGCAUACGCCCUACGGGGGAAAGCAGGGGAUCGUAAGACCUUGCACUAUUGGAGCGGCCGAUAUCGGAUUAGCUAGUUGGUGAGGUAACGGCUCACCAAGGCGACGAUCCGUAGCUGGUUUGAGAGGACGACCAGCCACACUGGGAAUGAGACACGGCCCAGAAUCCUACGGGAGGCAGCAGUGGGGAAUUUUGGACAAUGGGGGCAACCCUGAUCCAGCCAUCCCGCGUGUGCGAUGAAGGCAUUCGGGUUGUAAAGCACUUUUGGCAGGAAAGAAACGUCGCGGGCUAAUACCCCGUGGAACUGACGGUACCUGCAGAAUAAGCACAGGCUAAAUACGUG
RNAcentral lists this ribosomal RNA (484 nucleotides) under uncultured bacterium. RNAcentral describes it as "partial 16S ribosomal RNA". It matches the Rfam family "Bacterial small subunit ribosomal RNA", at positions 30 to 507 of the family's 1533-position model. The record is from RNAcentral.